GGUUAGUUUAUCCAUCGAGGAGGAAUAAACACAUGCCUCUUCUCAGGUUUGGUGGCAAAACCCUCAUGGAACGGCAGGUGGGAAAAUGGGAAGACAAGUAUCAGGUCUCUGCUCUGUUGCUAAAGGUAAAUAUUCAGAGAAAAACCGGCGUCGGCUACAGCUGUCUUCAGGGAUCUGUGGACCUUCCAGAUAAGGUGAGCUGCCCCGAUCAUUUGAUGACCCGAAUUGUCGGGGAAUCCGAUAUUCACCCUCAAACGCAACACCGUGACCCCCCCAGCCUCCUCCUGCGCUGAUUAAAAUUAAAGCGCUUUGCUGAUGAAGCCCCCCAGAACUGAAGCGUUUACCGUCAUUUCUAAACCCACCCCCUGAAAACCUAAUUUCCAGACGGUGAGCCUUGCCCCACAGGCCUCUGUGAGGCUUAGACAAAUAAUGCAAAACCUCUAGCAACCCCUGCGAAGAACCCGCUCCCACCACCUGGGCUCUGUUUCAUUUCAUUUGCUUAGCUUUGCUGUUGUUUUCUUUUUUUUAUCCAAUGGAUCAUUGGUGGGGGAGGGUGUUUUUUUUUUUUUUCUCCCCCCCCUUCAGUUGUACACAAAUUCUAAACUGGAAGCUGCUCCUGACUUAACUACUUAUGAGAAACACGAAUAUGUCUGGCGGCUUUGAUGUCUGCCGCACAACAAAGGAGAGAGUUACUCUGGGCCACUGUAAUCCUUGAUUUGUCACUAAGUUAUGACACCCAGCAGAGCCGUGUGACAGUGCAAAUCAAUCAGCCGGUGUGCUGGCGGGGCCUUCCCUGCCUCCCCGCCGAGCCUCCGCCGUUUAAUUAGCUUUUUUCACACUUCCAGAAUGUACAUCUGCAGCUUCAGCAAGAAAAGAGACGGAAG
This 884-nucleotide long non-coding RNA is filed under the name Sus scrofa (pig). Its description in RNAcentral is "lncRNA (ENSSSCG00065008191.1)". Lineage: Eukaryota; Metazoa; Chordata; Mammalia; Artiodactyla; Suidae. The record is from RNAcentral.